CUACUUCAGCAGCACAUGUGUUUAAAUUGGCAUGACUCAGAGAAGAGUAGCAGGAUCCCUGUGCAAAGACGGCAUGCACAUCCUGUGAAGCCUCCUAUAGUUUU
Small nuclear RNA from Heterocephalus glaber (naked mole-rat), 104 nucleotides. Lineage: Eukaryota; Metazoa; Chordata; Mammalia; Rodentia; Bathyergidae. The record is from Ensembl.